GACGAACCGAGCGACCGUUGUUCGGAAUCACUGGGCUUAAAGGGCGCGUAGGCGGGUGCUCAAGUCUGUGGUGAAAUCCUCCGGCUCAACCGGAGAACUGCCAUGGAUACUGGGUGCCUCGAGGGUGAUAGGGGUAUGCGGAACUAUCGGUGGAGCGGUGAAAUGCGUUGAUAUCGAUAGGAACUCCGGUGGCGAAGGCGGCAUACUGGAUCACUUCUGACGCUGAGGCGCGAAAGCCAGGGGAGCGAACGGG
This 253-nucleotide ribosomal RNA is filed under the name uncultured bacterium. RNAcentral describes it as "partial 16S ribosomal RNA". It matches the Rfam family "Bacterial small subunit ribosomal RNA", at positions 524 to 776 of the family's 1533-position model. The record is from RNAcentral.